UACGGGGGGGGCAAGCGUUGUUCGGAAUUACUGGGCGUAAAGGGCUCGUAGGCGGCCAACUAAGUCAGACGUGAAAUCCCUCGGCUUAACCGGGGAACUGCGUCUGAUACUGGAUGGCUUGAGUGUGGGAGAGGGAUGCGGAAUUCCAGGUGUAGCGGUGAAAUGCGUAGAUAUCUGGAGGAACACCGGUGGCGAAGGAGGCAUCCUGGACCAUUACUGACGCUGAUGAGCGAAAGCCAGGGGAGCAAACGGG
Molecule: ribosomal RNA, 253 nt
Filed under: uncultured bacterium
Lineage: Bacteria
Description: partial 16S ribosomal RNA
Rfam family: Bacterial small subunit ribosomal RNA
Source: RNAcentral